This is a long non-coding RNA of Nilaparvata lugens (brown planthopper), 347 nucleotides long. RefSeq lists it as uncharacterized. Lineage: Eukaryota; Metazoa; Arthropoda; Insecta; Hemiptera; Delphacidae. The transcript has 2 exons. The record is from RefSeq and is a predicted model, not a curated record.
UUCUAAGCCGUUCUCAUACUUUUUUCUUGCCUUUCUGCUUUGAAUAGUACCGGGUGAGCAUAAAUUAUUGAACACAUCUCAUAGGUGAAUAAAAAAAUAUCAAAUAAUAGUAGCGCGCCUAUUUUUGUGGCAAACGUUGGUGUACCUGCUAUAAUUUGUGAUGACCUUCAUCAAAACACAGUCGGCUCAAUGGUGGGGGUGACAGAGCCUCAGUUGAGCAAUGGCUACCAUGCAGGAGAAAGCUAUGUGCGUUCUGUGGUUUCACGAAAGCAAAUCGGUUAUUACUGUUCAAAGACUUUUUCGUUUAGAGUAUGGCCAUGAUCCUCCUUCUAACAACUCCAUUAAAU